This 56-nucleotide small RNA is filed under the name Caenorhabditis elegans. Its description in RNAcentral is "Unclassified non-coding RNA C49A1.17". Lineage: Eukaryota; Metazoa; Nematoda; Chromadorea; Rhabditida; Rhabditidae. The record is from RNAcentral.
GGACUCGAACCACGGACGUCAGAUUGGAAGCCCUUAAAAAUCCCACUGCGCCACUU